UUGCAUCAUGAUUUACAUUUGAGUGAGUGGCGAACUGGUGAGUAACACGUGGGAAACCUGCCCAGAAGCGGGGGAUAACACCUGGAAACAGAUGCUAAUACCGCAUAACAACUUGGACCGCAUGGUCCGAGCUUGAAAGAUGGCUUCGGCUAUCACUUUUGGAUGGUCCCGCGGCGUAUUAGCUAGAUGGUGAGGUAACGGCUCACCAUGGCAAUGAUACGUAGCCGACCUGAGAGGGUAAUCGGCCACAUUGGGACUGAGACACGGCCCAAACUCCUACGGGAGGCAGCAGUAGGGAAUCUUCCACAAUGGACGAAAGUCUGAUGGAGCAACGCCGCGUGAGUGAAGAAGGGUUUCGGCUCGUAAAACUCUGUUGUUAAAGAAGAACAUAUCUGAGAGUAACUGUUCAGGUAUUGACGGUAUUUAACCAGAAAGCCACGGCUAACUACGUGCCAGCAGCCGCGGUAAUACGUAGGUGGCAAGCGUUGUCCGGAUUUAUUGGGCGUAAAGCGAGCGCAGGCGGUUUUUUAAGUCUGAUGUGAAAGCCUUCGGCUCAACCGAAGAAGUGCAUCGGAAACUGGGAAACUUGAGUGCAGAAGAGGACAGUGGAACUCCAUGUGUAGCGGUGAAAUGCGUAGAUAUAUGGAAGAACACCAGUGGCGAAGGCGGCUGUCUGGUCUGUAACUGACGCUGAGGCUCGAAAGUAUGGGUAGCAAACAGGAUUAGAUACCCUGGUAGUCCAUACCGUAAACGAUGAAUGCUAAGUGUUGGAGGGUUUCCGCCCUUCAGUGCUGCAGCUAACGCAUUAAGCAUUCCGCCUGGGGAGUACGGCCGCAAGGCUGAAACUCAAAGGAAUUGACGGGGGCCCGCACAAGCGGUGGAGCAUGUGGUUUAAUUCGAAGCUACGCGAAGAACCUUACCAGGUCUUGACAUACUAUGCAAAUCUAAGAGAUUAGACGUUCCCUUCGGGGACAUGGAUACAGGUGGUGCAUGGUUGUCGUCAGCUCGUGUCGUGAGAUGUUGGGUUAAGUCCCGCAACGAGCGCAACCCUUAUUAUCAGUUGCCAGCAUUAAGUUGGGCACUCUGGUGAGACUGCCGGUGACAAACCGGAGGAAGGUGGGGAUGACGUCAAAUCAUCAUGCCCCUUAUGACCUGGGCUACACACGUGCUACAAUGGAUGGUACAACGAGUUGCGAACUCGCGAGAGUAAGCUAAUCUCUUAAAGCCAUUCUCAGUUCGGAUUGUAGGCUGCAACUCGCCUACAUGAAGUCGGAAUCGCUAGUAAUCGCGGAUCAGCAUGCCGCGGUGAAUACGUUCCCGGGCCUUGUACACACCGCCCGUCACACCAUGAGAGUUUGUAACACCCAAAG
RNAcentral lists this ribosomal RNA (1370 nucleotides) under Lactiplantibacillus plantarum subsp. plantarum. RNAcentral describes it as "bacterial SSU rRNA". It matches the Rfam family "Bacterial small subunit ribosomal RNA", at positions 67 to 1426 of the family's 1533-position model. Lineage: Bacteria; Bacillati; Bacillota; Bacilli; Lactobacillales; Lactobacillaceae. The record is from RNAcentral.